CGAAAGUCAGACCCAAACCAGUGCCACAGACUCAAACCAGGCAAGUCCUUGUUAAGAACUUAAGUCCUUCUCACGGAAGAAUGCCCUUGAGCCACAGUGGAAGGAACCUUAUCUGCUGCUGCUAUCUACAGGAACUGUGGAAAAGUGUAAGGAAUAGCAGACCUCGGAUCUACGCCUCUCCCCUUAAGCAGGUUCCAGAGCUAUCAGAAGAGGACCCUGAGUAUUGCUGUAAAGGUGUGCAGAAGCCUGUUAAUGCGAGAACACUGGAACGGAUAGUUUCUGCAAGUCUUCAAGAAAGAGAAGAGCAAAGUGACAGCCAGAGAUAGAGAUCCUAAGACUCCUGCAGAUAGAUCCCUAAAGCCUGCCUCAUGAUGAAACCAGAGACUUGUCGCUUCAAUUAUUACGUGAAGAUACGGGCUCUCCUGAUCAAGCACCUUAUCCAAGAGUUACCAGAAUGUGAUUUCUGCUGGUGAAGAAAUCGACUGGGCCAGGAUGUUGUCACCCGUCGCCGGGGACGGGUUCUUUUGGAAUCGGCACGGCGAGAGAGAGAGAGAGAGAGAGAGGCUGGGGAUGGAAAACCUGAGUUUUGUAUAGAAUUUAUUCCGCGGGGUGAAUUGAAUUAAAUAAUUAUUUAGAUGGGA
Long non-coding RNA from Ornithorhynchus anatinus (platypus), 641 nucleotides. RefSeq lists it as uncharacterized. NCBI's taxonomy places the organism in Eukaryota, Metazoa, Chordata, Mammalia, Monotremata, Ornithorhynchidae. The transcript has 3 exons. The record is from RefSeq and is a predicted model, not a curated record.